Molecule: ribosomal RNA, 446 nt
Filed under: uncultured bacterium
Lineage: Bacteria
Description: partial 16S ribosomal RNA
Rfam family: Bacterial small subunit ribosomal RNA
Source: RNAcentral
CCUACGGGUGGCAGCAGUCGAGAAUCAUUCACUCUGGGGGAAACCCUGAUGGUGCGACGCCGCGUGGGGGAAUGAAGGUCUUCUGAUUGUAAACCCCUGUCAUGUGGGAGCAAAUUAAAAAGAUAGUACCACAAGAGGAAGAGACGGCUAACUCUGUGCCAGCAGCCGCGGUAAUACAGAGGUCUCACGCGUUGUUCGGAACCACUGGGCGUAAGGCGUGCGUAGGCUGUUUCGUAAGUCGUGUGUGAAAGGCGCGGGCUCAACCCGCGGACGGCACAUGAUACUGCGAGACUAGAGUAAUGGAGGGGGAACCGGAAUUCUCGGUGUAGCAGUGAAAUGCGUAGAUAUCGAGAGGAACACUCGUGGCGAAGGCGGGUUCCUGGACAUUAACUGACGCUGAGGCACGAAGGCCAGGGGAGCGAAAGGGAUUAGAUACCCCAGUAGUC